Molecule: RNA transcript, 2269 nt
Organism: Sinocyclocheilus grahami
Lineage: Eukaryota; Metazoa; Chordata; Actinopteri; Cypriniformes; Cyprinidae
Gene name: adenosine receptor A2b-like
Exons: 3
Source: RefSeq, a predicted model, not a curated record
UCACAAACUUUGGAGAUCCGUGGAUUAUUGCAAAUUGGUUCUUUUACAACUGGACAAGCAGCACAGCGUGACAGACAGACUCAUGACAUCCUAACUGCUGUCUGGAGGUGUUUCUCAGUGAAGUGUGCAGCAAUGGAUCCGCUGUACAUCGCUAUUGAGCUGAUGAUCGCCGUCCUGUCAAUCUCCGGUAAUGUGCUGGUGUGCUGGGCUGUGGCCAUCAACUCCACUCUCAAGAACGCCACCAAUUACUUUCUGGUGUCUCUAGCCGUGGCAGAUAUUCUGGUUGGCUGUCUUGCCAUCCCUUUUGCCAUCACUAUAAGCAUUGGUCUGCGCUCAGACUUCUAUGGAUGCCUUUUCCUGGCGUGUUUCGUUCUGGUACUGACUCAAAGUUCAAUAUUUAGUCUUCUGGCGGUUGCCAUCGACAGAUAUCUGGCUGUAAAAAUCCCCCUGAGGUAUAAGGAGCUUGUCACAGGGAAAAGGGCAAGAGAGAUCAUUGCCAUUUUAUGGAUCUUAUCCUUCAUCAUUGGACUCAUUCCAUUCGUGGGCUGGAACCAUAAAGACUUGACCUGUUUCAGAAACGAAAGCAGCUUUAUACAGACCAGCAACAGCAGUGAUGCCGCUCAGAUGGAAACGGGCUUCUUGCAAAGCUGCUGCCUCGAGUGCUUCUUCGAGAACGUAGUGGACAUGAGUUACAUGGUGUACUUCAACUUCUUCGGUUGCGUGCUGCCACCUCUGCUCAUCAUGCUGGGCAUUUACGUCAAGAUCUUCACGGUGGCGCGUAAACAGCUACGUCAGAUCGAGCUCAAAUGCAGCGUGAAUAACGGUGAGAAUCACCACCACAGCCUGCUGCAGCGGGAGAUUCGUGCCGCCAAAUCGCUCUCCAUCAUCGUGGGCUUGUUCGCUCUCUGCUGGCUGCCCGUGCACAUCUUGAACUGCCUCACUCUGUUCUACACCGAGCUGGAAAAGCCCAUCUUUAUCAUGAACAUCGCCAUCAUCCUCUCGCAUGCCAACUCCGCCGUCAAUCCCAUUAUCUACGCCUACCGCAUCCAGGACUUCAGAGUCACUUUUAGGAAGAUUCUGAACCGGCAUUUCUUUUGUCGACGGGAUGAGUUGUAUCGCAGCUCCAAUGGAAGCAGCCGUCACAGAGACCAGAUUACAAUGACCAUCGACCCUCUACUUUAGAUGUAUUUGUCAAAAUAUAUGAGAGAAAUGUUUACAGACCAAAGAACUGCAAACAGCAUGAUCUUGUAUUAAGAUGAUAUCUAGCAAGACCCACUUUUCAUGAAGCCAUUGUGGACACGAUUGAACAUUGAGGAUUUAACAUUGAACUGUGAAAAAAAAAAAACUACCACUACAAAUGUGGAAAUAUUGCAUUUCAGAUUGCAUUUCCAAGCACUAAGAAACUUUCUCAGCAGCUUUAGGUCAAGCCUUAUCGCAGGAAUGAAAGCUAAGAGCGGUCAGUGAGCCUCUGAAGUGCUGAACUGAACCAUGUAUGAGAAACCUACACGAAGAUCCUGCAGAAAAAUAAAACUGUAAUUUUGGGCAGCUUUAGUUAAAUCUUUAAUGAUCUCUUGUCUGUAGAACAGCCCAGAGGAACAAGCUGAAUUCAUAAGGCACAUCAGCUGAAUACGCCACCAUGGAACAAGGAACACAAAGAAACUAUUUCCGAAUGCUUGAAUGUAUUAGUUUCUUUUGUUUUUUUUACAGAGGAGAUGGCUGGUUUAGACGGCUCAGGAACACAAGCCCUUAGGAAUCAGUUUGUUGUUGAAUGUCUGACUGUGACAAGCUACCCAGACCAAACCAACAGCAGCUGACCUGGAGCAAAGACUGUCUCCUCUGGAGAGAGAUUUACAGUGUCACCACCAGAGCUGGACAGUUUAUAACAAUCUGUAGUGUCAAUACUGCCACUCUCUUCUAUUAAUCACCAACCACCGUUACAGUAUAACUACAGCUCUAGAGAGAGGUCUGCUCUUCAUUCAUCAGUGCCUUUACUGGCUCAUCUAGACUACAUUUUGAUGAAUCGCAAUUAUGAUUAUAAAAUGAUUAAAAGCUCAGAGCUCUUGGCACAGUGAUUAGAGCACAUGCUCCUCAGACAUUGAGCCUUGGAAAUGUAGGUUUUAGUCAUCCCAUUUUAGAAGAAGGUUUCCUCAUCCCAAUCUCCAUCUCUCACCAAUUAUUUCUCCCUCCACUAUAUGUCUGUCCAGUUAAAUAGGCAAAAUAAAGCUAUAUUUAGUGUGUCAUCUUACACUCCUUUUUAUGUCAGGUUAUG